RNAcentral lists this ribosomal RNA (468 nucleotides) under uncultured bacterium. RNAcentral describes it as "partial 16S ribosomal RNA". It matches the Rfam family "Bacterial small subunit ribosomal RNA", at positions 28 to 507 of the family's 1533-position model. The record is from RNAcentral.
GACGAACGCUGGCGGCGUGCUUAACACAUGCGAGUCGAACGGAAAGACCCUGCUUUUGUGGGGUGCUCGAGUGGCGAACGGGUGAGUAACACGUGAGUAACCUGCCCUUGACUUUGGGAUAACUUCAGGAAACUGGGGCUAAUACCGGAUAGGAGCUCCUGCUGCAUGGUGGGGGUUGGAAAGUUUCGGCGGUUGGGGAUGGACUCGCGGCUUAUCAGCUUGUUGGUGGGGUAGUGGCUUACCAAGGCUUUGACGGGUAGCCGGCCUGAGAGGGUGACCGGCCACAUUGGGACUGAGAUACGGCCCAGACUCCUACGGGAGGCAGCAGUGGGGAAUAUUGCACAAUGGGCGGAAGCCUGAUGCAGCAACGCCGCGUGCGGGAUGACGGCCUUCGGGUUGUAAACCGCUUUCGCCUGUGACGAAGCGUGAGUGGCGGUAAUGGGUAAAGAAGCACCGGCUAACUACGUG